UACAGGGGGUGCAACCGUUGCUCGGAAUCAUUGGGCGUAAAGCGCACGUAGGCGGUUCGUUAUGUCGGAUGUGAAAGCCCUUGGCUUAACCGAGGAAGUGCAUCCGAAACUGGCGAGCUAGAGUACGAAAGAGGAUCGCGGAAUUCCCGGUGUAGAGGUGAAAUUCGUAGAUAUCAGGAGGAACACCGGUGGCGAAGGCGGCGACCUGGGUAGAUACUGACGCUGAGGCGCGAAAGCGUGGGGAGCAAACAGG
RNAcentral lists this ribosomal RNA (253 nucleotides) under uncultured bacterium. RNAcentral's name for it is "partial 16S ribosomal RNA". It matches the Rfam family "Bacterial small subunit ribosomal RNA", at positions 524 to 776 of the family's 1533-position model. The record is from RNAcentral.